GGCCAAGUCAUUUAUGGAAGGUGGAAGUCCCCGUUUGGCCAUCCAUGCGAGGUUGUUGUUCUUUGGAGCUUCCCUGUGCGGUGACUCAGUGUGUCCUUGGGUGGAUGUCUUUAUGCUGUGAACAGAUAUUGAACCCUGAACCACGCAGGACGUGGAAGGAAACAUUUACGACAUCUGGCGCCCGAGGGGGACUCUGGAAGUGAAGGUUUUGCUAGAGCGAAAAAACGAAGUUUCACUGGCAAAAGUGAGGAACGAAGAAUUCACCGUAAAGGUAGGAAAAGUCACCAUAAAGAGGGUAUGCUUGUAUAUUCCCAGAGAAUUUUUCAAAACCCGUGUGGAUUCCUGCUAGAAAUAUUAAACUGCAACAGGGAUCCAAGAGAGAAACUACACAGACUAAUGAGGACCUUGCAUCUGAAGCCACACCAUGCAGUUGCAGACAAUCCACUACCUCAGCCACAGAGAGCAGCGACUCCAAGCAGUCUACUGAAGCUGAGCAGCAGGAGGAGGACAAGCUGGACAACAAACAGCCUGGAGACCACCCGAGGCAUGGUAAAGAAGAUGGUACAGACGCCUGACGUCUGAGAACAUCUUUCCUGCCAUGCCAGUGGUAAUCAUCUGUACGGUAAUAUUACCUAGGGAAACUCCCCCCAAAGCAUGUGGGGAAUUGAAAAAUUUUACAAAAUUUAAAAAUGCGUCUGGGAUUUUUGUGCAUGUGUAAAGAGAAAAGCUGGCUUAAAACUAAUGUGCGCAU
This is a long non-coding RNA of Myotis myotis, 751 nucleotides long. RefSeq lists it as uncharacterized. The record is from RefSeq and is a predicted model, not a curated record. Lineage: Eukaryota; Metazoa; Chordata; Mammalia; Chiroptera; Vespertilionidae. The transcript has 3 exons.